GGUGGCGCCAUCAGUGUGGGCUGUGCCGUGGCUGGAAGUUACUGUGAGGCGGCGGCUAAGAAGGCGGCUCUGGUGGCGGCGGUGGAGGCUGAGGCGGCGGCCGAGGCGGCGACGGAGGAAACAGAAGAUGCACUGUUGAAAUAUAGUUUUUAUUGCAUUUCUGCCGUUUUACAAAAAUAUGACAAAAUAAAUUAAAAACAAAU
Molecule: long non-coding RNA, 203 nt
Filed under: Homo sapiens (human)
Lineage: Eukaryota; Metazoa; Chordata; Mammalia; Primates; Hominidae
Description: HSALNT0256551
Source: RNAcentral